GAAUAUUUACCUUCUAGCUACUUCAUGGUUUGUCACUCAUCUUCAAGGCUGAAUCGGCAAGUCAGCAGGCCUGAGGGGCCUGAUCUAAGGCUGACCAGAUUCUUUAAGCACAUUACGCAGUACUGGGGUGGGGUGUAACCCAACACCCCAGACCCAGAAAGUGUGUCUGUUGGCUCUGAGAAGCUACACAGCUUGGAGCUACAGGCAAACAUCUGUGUUUUGGGCACCUCCCUGACCUACCUGGAGAGUGAGACACUGUUGUUCCAGGCGCUGAUAACAACUCUUGAACCAGAUACACAAGUUCCCAGCUUGAAGACUUACAGCCCAGCAGCUGAGACAGACAAUA
This is a long non-coding RNA of Hipposideros armiger (great roundleaf bat), 346 nucleotides long. RefSeq lists it as uncharacterized. The record is from RefSeq and is a predicted model, not a curated record. NCBI's taxonomy places the organism in Eukaryota, Metazoa, Chordata, Mammalia, Chiroptera, Hipposideridae. The transcript is spliced from 3 exons.